GACGAACGCUGGCGGCGUGCCUAAUACAUGCAAGUAGAACGCUGAAGGAGGAGCUUGCUUCUCUGGAUGAGUUGCGAACGGGUGAGUAACGCGUAGGUAACCUGCCUGGUAGCGGGGGAUAACUAUUGGAAACGAUAGCUAAUACCGCAUAAGAGUAGAUGUUGCAUGACAUUUGCUUAAAAGGUGCAAUUGCAUCACUACCAGAUGGACCUGCGUUGUAUUAGCUAGUUGGUGAGGUAACGGCUCACCAAGGCAACGAUACAUAGCCGACCUGAGAGGGGGAUCGGCCACACUGGACUGAGACACGGCCCAGACUCCUACGGGAGGCAGCAGUAGGGAAUCUUCGGCAAUGGACGGAAGUCUGACCGAGCAACGCCGCGUGAGUGAAGAAGGUUUUCGGAUCGUAAAGCUCUGUUGUAAGAGAAGAACGAGUGUGAGAGUGGAAAGUUCACACUGUGACGGUAUCUUACCAGAAAGGGACGGCUAACUACGUG
This 494-nucleotide ribosomal RNA is filed under the name uncultured bacterium. RNAcentral describes it as "partial 16S ribosomal RNA". It matches the Rfam family "Bacterial small subunit ribosomal RNA", at positions 28 to 507 of the family's 1533-position model. The record is from RNAcentral.